This is a long non-coding RNA of Gossypium arboreum, 558 nucleotides long. RefSeq lists it as uncharacterized. The transcript is spliced from 2 exons. Lineage: Eukaryota; Viridiplantae; Streptophyta; Magnoliopsida; Malvales; Malvaceae. The record is from RefSeq and is a predicted model, not a curated record.
UAAAUAACAGCCAAAAAAGUUAAAUUAAUGUAAUCCUAUCUAUUAUAUUCAUUUAUAAAAACGUUAUGACCAGAUUCAAAAAUAAGAAAAUAUAUUGAUGAGACUUUGACUAUGUAUUUAACAAAGUUGAGGCAACUAAGCAGACAAAAUUGUUAUUCUUAUUGUUGUUAAGAUGGGUUUAUCCUCCUUCUUACGCCCUCUCAUUGUCUUCCUCAUCUUCAUAAUCUCAGUGUUGGCCAUUCAGAUCACUCCUGUUGCUGCAGAAUUGAAGGUGAGCACAAAGCCACAAGGUGAUAAACGCAUGCCGAAUCCGCCACCAACUCCGGCUCGAAACAUGCCACCCGACGGUCCACCUCUUUAAUCGUAUUCAUCUAUUGCUCAUAAUUACAACACCAAAUGGCCAUUUACAACUCUAUGUAUGGCAUUUAAGUUUGCAAUUAGAGUAUGGUCUUUUUCAUUAUAUUGUGCAAAGGGGGAUGAUGAUACUUCACUUGUUUACAUGUUGAUUGUUGUUCGAGUAUUGUGCUAAUUUAUGAGAUGGAUGAUUAUUUCAUUUUA